CUACCUCAAUCUGUUGCGGACAAAUAAAAUGUAUGUGGGUGUCUAUUCCACCAGCAGUGAGAAUCAUACCUUCCCCAGCUAGAGCUUCAGUUCCAGGUCCAAUAAUGAUGUCUAUGUUGUCUUGAAUGUAGGGAUUUCCAGCUUUACCAAUCUUAUGAAUUUUCCCAUCUUUAAUACCAACGUCUGCUUUAACCACACCCCACCAAUCCAAAAUUAGGGCGUUAGUAAUAACUAAAUCUACAGCACCAUCCCUAUUGGCAAUUGGGGAUUGUCCCAUACCAUCCCGAAU
Molecule: small RNA, 289 nt
Filed under: Cylindrospermopsis raciborskii CENA303
Lineage: Bacteria; Bacillati; Cyanobacteriota; Cyanophyceae; Nostocales; Aphanizomenonaceae
Description: 5' ureB small RNA
Rfam family: 5' ureB small RNA
Source: Rfam by way of RNAcentral